RNAcentral lists this ribosomal RNA (1012 nucleotides) under Talaromyces bacillisporus. RNAcentral's name for it is "SSU rRNA". It matches the Rfam family "Eukaryotic small subunit ribosomal RNA", at positions 85 to 1106 of the family's 1831-position model. The record is from RNAcentral. Lineage: Eukaryota; Fungi; Ascomycota; Eurotiomycetes; Eurotiales; Trichocomaceae.
AACUGCGAAUGGCUCAUUAAAUCAGUUAUCGUUUAUUUGAUAGUACCCUACUACAUGGAUACCUGUGGUAAUUCUAGAGCUAAUACAUGCGCAAAACCCCGACUUCGGAAGGGGUGUAUUUAUUAGAUAAAAAACCAAUGCCCUCCGGGGCUCCUUGGUGAUUCAUAAUAACUUAACGAAUCGCAUGGCCUUGCGCCGGCGAUGGUUCAUUCAAAUUUCUGCCCUAUCAACUUUCGAUGGUAGGAUAGUGGCCUACCAUGGUGGCAACGGGUAACGGGGAAUUAGGGUUCGAUUCCGGAGAGGGAGCCUGAGAAACGGCUACCACAUCCAAGGAAGGCAGCAGGCGCGCAAAUUACCCAAUCCCGAUUCGGGGAGGUAGUGACAAUAAAUACUGAUGCAGGGCUCUUUUGGGUCUUGCAAUCGGAAUGAGUACAAUCUAAACACCUUAACGAGGAACAAUUGGAGGGCAAGUCUGGUGCCAGCAGCCGCGGUAAUUCCAGCUCCAAUAGCGUAUAUUAAAGUUGUUGCAGUUAAAAAGCUCGUAGUUGAACCUUGGGCCCGUCCUGCCGGUCCGCCUCACCGCGAGUACUGGUCCGGAUGGGCCUUUCUUUCUGGGGAAUCCCAUGGCCUUCACUGGCUGUGGGGGGAACCAGGACUUUUACUGUGAAAAAAUUAGAGUGUUCAAAGCAGGCCUUUGCUCGGAUACAUUAGCAUGGAAUAAUAGAAUAGGACGUGCGGUUCUAUUUUGUUGGUUUCUAGGACCGCCGUAAUGAUUAAUAGGGAUAGUCGGGGGCGUCAGUAUUCAGCAGUCAGAGGUGAAAUUCUUGGAUCUGCUGAAGACUAACUACUGCGAAAGCAUUCGCCAAGGAUGUUUUCAUUAAUCAGGGAACGAAAGUUAGGGGAUCGAAGACGAUCAGAUACCGUCGUAGUCUUAACCAUAAACUAUGCCGACUAGGGAUCGGGCGGUGUUUUUAUGAUGACCCGCUCGGCACCUUACGAGAAAUCAAAGUUU